UUUCCGUAGGUGAACCUGCGGAAGGAUCAUUAUCGAGUUUUGACUGAGUUGUAACUUUCCCUCCGACGCAUGUGCACGCGCUCCUCAUCGACUCUACACCUGUGCACUUACCGAGGGUGUCCGCCCGUGACGCGUGCGCUUUUACUGGAGCUCGUGAUGCGUGUCUGUGCCAGUGUUUAUCACAAAAACUAUAAAAUCUCAGAAUGUGUAUUUCGUUGUGACGCAUAUAGAUACAGCUCACAGCAGCGGAUGUCUUGACUCCAGCAUCGAUGAAGAACA
RNAcentral lists this unclassified non-coding RNA (279 nucleotides) under plant metagenome. RNAcentral's name for it is "partial contains small subunit ribosomal RNA, internal transcribed spacer 1, and 5.8S ribosomal RNA". The record is from RNAcentral.